RNAcentral lists this ribosomal RNA (274 nucleotides) under uncultured bacterium. Its description in RNAcentral is "partial 16S ribosomal RNA". It matches the Rfam family "Bacterial small subunit ribosomal RNA", at positions 523 to 796 of the family's 1533-position model. The record is from RNAcentral.
AUACGGAGGGUGCAAGCGUUAUCCGGAAUCAUUGGGUUUAAAGGGUCCGUAGGCGGACUAUUAAGUCAGAGGUGAAAUCCCACAGCUCAACUGUGGAACUGCCUUUGAUACUGGUAGUCUCGAGUUAUAUGGAAGUAGAUAGAAUGUGUAGUGUAGCGGUGAAAUGCAUAGAUAUUACACAGAAUACCGAUUGCGAAGGCAGUCUACUACGUAUAUACUGACGCUAAGGGACGAAAGCGUGGGGAGCGAACAGGAUUAGAAACCCCAGUAGUCC